This is a non-coding RNA of Heterocephalus glaber (naked mole-rat), 4929 nucleotides long. Lineage: Eukaryota; Metazoa; Chordata; Mammalia; Rodentia; Bathyergidae. The record is from RefSeq and is a predicted model, not a curated record.
ACGGUGCGGCGGAGGCGGCGGCCAUCUUGGCAGCGGAGCGAUGAACGGGCCGAACCCUAAGGCUGCGGCUGCGGGGACUGCAGCUGGGUCCAGGGGGCUGGUGGCUGGCAAGGAGGAGAAGAAGGCGGGCGGCGGCGUCCUCAACCGGCUCAAGGCGCGGCGGCAGGCGCCCCAACACGCGCUCGGCGACGGCAUUGCGACAGCGGUCACCGAGCAGGAGCUACUGGCGCUGGACACCAUCCGGCCCGAGCACGUCCUGCGCCUCAGCCGGGUUACCGAGAAUUAUUUGUGUAAACCCGAAGACAACAUCUACAGUAUUGAUUUUACCCGCUUCAAAAUUCGAGAUUUGGAGACUGGGACAGUGCUUUUUGAGAUUGCCAAACCUUGCAUUUCAGAUCACCAGGAGGAGGAGGAGGGUGGAGAUGUGGAUAUCAGUGCAGGACGUUUUGUCCGCUAUCAGUUCACACCAGCAUUUCUCCGCCUCCGGACAGUUGGUGCUACAGUGGAGUUCACAGUAGGAGACAAACCUGUGUCAAACUUCCGGAUGAUUGAACGGCACUAUUUCCGGGAACGCCUGCUGAAAAACUUUGACUUUGAUUUUGGCUUCUGCAUCCCCAGCAGUAGGAACACUUGUGAACAUAUCUAUGAGUUUCCCCAGCUUUCAGAGGAUGUCAGAGGUGGAACCCAGGGCCCUAUAUAUGCUGGGCAAGUAUAUACUGAGCCGAAUCUCCAGCCCUAAGGAAUGAACCUUGAACCUCAUCUGAUGGCUUCAUCUUGGAGAGGAGGGCAGCAUUGACAUGAUGAGUAUCUGGUCAUCUGACCUAAGGCUUCUCAUUUCCUCCUGCUCUGUCUUUUUGUUUCAGACUCUUAAUUCUGCCUAUAUGGGAGCAGAGAAGGUUGUAAAAAUAUAGGGCAUUAUCAUUAGACACCUGUCAUGGGAAAGGGCGUGGCUGAGGGGGAUAAAGGAGGCCUGGGAUCUUGCCUGGGAGUCUGACUAGAUAAGAGCUUCCAGUGUUAGUAAUGGCUUCCAUUAUGUCCUAGUCAUUGGCCCUGUACUUUUUCCUUAAUCAGAGCCAGGUGUGAAAUGGCAGGCUGAACAGAAGCAAAAGCCUGAGGACUUUCCUUUCUCUUUCUCUGCAGGAUAAAGGUUCGUCUGAUGAUUGAAAACCCUUAUGAGACCCGCUCUGACAGCUUCUACUUCGUUGACAACAAGCUGAUAAUGCACAACAAGGCUGAUUAUGCCUAUAAUGGAGGCCAGUAACUGCUGCAGAAGUGGACAAAGGAGUUGCUUUGCUAGGGCCUUGUGCUCCUAGCACAUGGAGGAGAUUGAAGCUGCUGUUUGUCAACAGACAUCUGGAAGCUAUCCAGGAGGCGGAGGCUGGGGUGGCAGUUUCCUGUGCUCCAGGGAGGUGCCAAGCAGUGUUGUGUUUUCUUCCUUUUUUUCUUGUCCCUUAGGUCACAGAGGUAUCAUAGUAAAGUAGAAGAUUAGGGUAAGGCUCCUGCAAUCCACAUUAAAAAGAAAGUUUAUUUUCAUGUAGUUCUAGCUGUCUGCAGGUUAUGCUGAUGAGUCUCAGUCUCUCCAGCUCAGGUGUGUCCGGGUGAGGGCUGUGGCUGCCACCUGCAUCUUAGUGUUCCUUCUCGACCAGGAACCUUCCUGAGGUUCCUGAAUGCUGUGAGUAGCUGAAAGGUUGGCCUCUCCUGGGUGCCUCCUCUUCUCCCUUCUGGUGUUGCCCAUAACCCCGCCUGCCCCAGCCCCCACCCACACAUAGUCCUAAACCAACUGGAAAAAACUUGGUGCUGAGGGCUGAGGUACCAGGAAUGGGGGAUCCUGCCAGACUAUAGAGGACCCAUUUCUUGGUGAGCCUGUUAUCUGUCUGACUUCAGGAUCCUCCGCCAGUCCUCCUGGGGAUAGACCAAGGUUUUAACCUGGCAGUGCCUUCCUGUUCUUAUUCUGGGGGACAGAUGAGCUCGCUCUCCUACUUUGUCCUCCUGGAGUAGAAUAUGUCACUUUUGCUCAUGGAACAUACUAUCUUUCAAGGCCAGAGCAGGGCUCUUGUAUUUUGAUUUUUUUCUCCAGACUCCUAUAGAGGAGUUUAUACAAAAUGUGAGUGGUGUUUUCAGCACAUGUAAUGUGUGGUUAGACUUUUGAUAGUAUUGAUCAGCCUCCUGGGGCUAAUCUGGCUCAUGUUAGGGGAGGUAUAGUUACAAAGCAGCACUCUGUACAGCAUAGCCUGAAGAAUUGGCUUCUGAUGGGGAUUUGCCUCCUGAACUCUGUGGUUCUUACUUAGGAGUUUUCCUGUUUGCUUUCUAAUGAAGUAGUUUCUGGAACCAUCUGGGAAGCCCGACCUAAGUAAUUCAUAUUCAGAUCCUUUAAGCUGCUAGUUGGGAUUAUUUGGGGUGGAAAGGGUGAGAUAGGUUGAGGUAGCCUAUCAGAGUGAUGUGUUCUCAAAUCAGCUCCCUAGUGCUCCCUGUGGGCUGCUUGUGUCCACAGGCCCUUACGGGAUGGGCUCCCACCUCAGCUGCCUCUGGUUGUCUCUGUGGAUGGCUUUAGGUGCUUAGGCCAGACUCCAGGACCUCUCUGUGGCCAGGGUGCACUUAGCAUUAAUAGAAAGGUGUCAGUAGCAUGGGGGACCAGGAGUGUAGUAAGGUGCUGUGAGGCCUCACUGUAUUUGUGACAGGAGCUGUGUCCAAGGCUUUUAGAGGAAGGCUGUGUGUGGCCAGGGAAGGAAGGGCCAGCACUGUGCCACAGAAGCACAAGUGCAUUCUUCAGCCAGUGUUCCUUCCUGUUGGGCUUCUAGAGUGGCCUUGACCCUCAGCCUGUGCUUUGUGCCAGUCCAAAGAAUUGGUGGUGCCGUCUGCUGGCUGCUUUCUCGAUGAGUGAGUGUCCUGAGUGCUGGCACUGGGUCCCCCUGCCGAGGUGGGGAGGGAAUGUGUGCCCUGCCACAUGGGCGCCUUAUCACCACACUGGUGAGUUUCAGUUGGGGUCAACUCCAAAUCCAGGUGCCUUAAGUAUGGCUUUUUCCCAUAUGCUGCUGGGGAAAGCUGUUGCUGUUAUUUCUUCCUCCUCACCUGUGGACAGAUAUCAGCACCCACCAUCUCCCUACCUUCUUCUCUUUCUCACUGUGACUCCUUUAGUGAGAUUACCUAUUCUUCUCAAGCUUCAAAUGUUCCUUCUUCUGUGACAGAAGCCCAAUUGGGAGUGCUUCUGUUGUCCAAAAUCUAAACAUCACCUAGGGUGUACAUUCUGGAGCUGCCCAGCGCUCUGCUCAGUGGAGCCUGUUUUGAAAAUUGGGCCAGGAAAGACAGUUACAUGGGCACUAGUGGGCUGUCUCUUACCUACAGUGUUAGCUUUUGGUGGCAAAGCACCCAGGAGGUGAAGGAGCUGGGCACUUCAGCUCAAGGUAGCCCCUUCCCUUCCCUGCUAACUUGCUUACUCUCACUGGAGACCGUUUUGAGGCCUGGUGUUCAGUUGUAGCCAGCAGGGUGGGAUUUGCUGUCCUCUGCCUUUGAAGGUACAGUGUUCUGUGUCUAGCUGCACCAGAAAUCUCGAGAAGCAUUACCAUUUUGGGUGUUAGCUGGAAUGAAUUUAAAACUGGAGCUUCCAGCUGGGAAGCCUGGUGGCACAUGCCUGUAAUCCCAGCACUCUGGGAGGCUGAGGCAGGAGGAUUGCCACAAGUUUGAGGCCAGCCUGGGCUAUAUAGUGAGUUCAAGCCCAGCUUGAACUGCAGGGAAAGACCCUGUCUCAAAAAAUAAAACAAUUCCAGCUUCCAUGCCUGCAUCGAGGAGAGGAUUGGAAGUCAUAUUUCCUCUGAAAGUAACUGAACCAUCAGAAGUUGAGUCAGGAGGUGUGCUAUUAAGAAAUCUUUAUUAUUGAUAGCAGUUACCUGCUAUCAUCCAGCUCCUUGUGUGGUGAGACCAUUCUUUGUGUCAAAGCAGGCAUCCAAGAGGCAGCUCCUGGAGGGAGCUCAUUGCAGCAGCCAGGCCAACCUAUCUAGGGUGAGGCCCUGCCUCCUCCUUUCUCCUGGAUCCUCUAUCUUGGACUCCCUUAGAGGGCCUCUGCUUUCUCUGUGGCCUUUGGGUUAAGCUGCCCUUCUAGCCUCUCCAAAGAAGAUCCUGGCUUAUUUCAUUUUAAUUUCUAAAGUAUAAACAUAGGAAGUAAUGACUAGAAGUAGUUGGGGCUAAAAUAGGCUGUCGUCUCAUUCUGUGUUAGCUCAGAGCUGUUGCAGAGAAAGCAUUCCUCAGGGGCUCGGACUUUCUGAAGACGUCUCAGGCUUUGGGAAUCUGAUUUCUAACACCGAGGGACAGUGAUUGAAGAUGCCUGGGGGUGACCAUAGACUGGCGUUGACUGGACAAACUUCAACGUAUUUUUUCAGUUGGAGUGGAAACCAUUUCUAGACUGGAUGUAAUAAGCUGUGAGUCCUACCUUAGUUGAUCCUGCCUCCCUUGUUGGGGUCCCAAGUACCCCCUGUUUUUUUCCUCUGUAAAGUCACUUUCCUCUGGUGGCCAGUGCCACCAUGCCAUCGGUGAGGUUUGGGAAUGGGGAAAAAUCUGUCCUAAAAAUCACAGCACAGGCUCCUUGGUUUGUACCUGGGGGGGAAGCCUAAUUGUUGAACCUUUGUGUUAUUCACAUUCCUUGUUACAGAAUAUCUUAGCGACAAGAUGGAUCUAGUGGAGGUGGAUUUAACCUCUUGUUUUACAAAGGAUCACGUGAAGUCAUUGAAGUUGCGAAAGUCUAUUUUUUCCUUAUAAAUCUAUUUUUCACAGAAUAUAAGAAACUCAAUGACCUGACCUGUCCUUCUUCCUCACUUCACCUGAGAUCCUCAUUCCAGUUUGUACUGUCUUUGUGUCCAAAGUAAACUAGGUGACUUAUUUGUAUAAAAUGUUAUUUUGCCACAGGAGACAGUAAUAAAAGAAAGAUUUUUCACACUA